Molecule: long non-coding RNA, 1872 nt
Organism: Hylaeus anthracinus
Lineage: Eukaryota; Metazoa; Arthropoda; Insecta; Hymenoptera; Colletidae
Exons: 3
Source: RefSeq, a predicted model, not a curated record
GCGAGAGAGAGAGAGAGAGGCAGGGCACCGUAGCCAGAUCAAUACACACGGCCAACCCCGUAGUAACGCAUAGAAUACCUUAUUCAUAACAUACCGCUGUGUCCAGUGUUUUCUUUAAACCCCCGUCCACCCUCGUCGGUGUGGUCGCGGGCCUGUAUUUACGUCGGGUUUUUGAAAAAGACCAGGGAUUAAAAGAGAUCCAUCCGAGACCCUCUGGGGAUUAAGCGCCGGUUUGACCGUUCUCCUGCUUGUUCGACGUUUAAGGCUGGGCUUAACUCUCCCCGAUCUGGGGAAAAUGGGACUGGAGGACCAAAUAGGCUGGAGGAGUAGUUAUUCCUUGAGAAAACUGUCCAAUAAUCGUGUACGAGAUACAUUAGGAAAAUCAGAAGGAUAAAGCGAGAAAAGCGUUUACCGGAACCUCAGAGUCCAAUGACCUUAGAUAACCAAGAUGCCUUCCACCUAGUCCAAGAUUCUCUACCUAUCGCGGAGCACUUUCGACUGAAUCUUCCUACGAGCAACUUCAGAAGUUCCAGUUCUCCCAGGAAAAAUCAGAAGGCGAAUAAAACUGCGAACAAAGCGAAAAAGCUAACCUUACUGAAACCCCCGAGCGAAUGACCUCGGAUAACCAAGAUGCUCCCACCUAGCUCAAGAUCCUCUAACAAUCGUAGAGCACUAUCGACUGAACCUUCCCUCGAGUAACUCUGGUUAUAAACGAGUCGGUUUCCAGGACCAAAUUCGUAGCCUUCUCCGUGUUAAUCCCCGAAAACUGAGAUACCGACAAUUUCGUCGCUAGUUCGCGAGUCCCUCGGUCGUUCGACGCAACGCAAUAAGUCGACUUUACGAGCGGAACACUCGCUGUUGCGUUCCGUCCUACAGGAAACAGAACUAUAAAAGUACCUUUUGUUUUUUUGUCGCUCGCGGAGAAUCUCCACCGCUGGCUGGGGAUACAUAUUGACCCGUUCGAAGCACGGAAACUCUCGAGCACUGUUAACCCACGAAACCUGAGCACUCGUUGCAAAGAAUGCACUUCCGAGCUGAAGAAGACGACUCUCUCCCUCUGAAUCUGAUCUUUUAGGCAAGCUAGGAGGCAUAUCGAUUCGAGCCUGUGAUAUCGUCAGGUGGCGUUUCACUGGAAAUAACGUUUUAUUUAAAGAUCUUAGAGGACCCGUACGACACUAUCUCGAUAGAUAUUUUGGGAAGCUAUGCAAGGAAAGGUUUCGAUGUUUCGAUUAUGUCGAUUAGUUCGGAGAAUAAUUCCUGUCUGAGACAGACUUCUGACUCAUUUCAUAUUUAAACUCUCUGUGUUAGAAUCUUUUUCGAAGUCUUACGAAUGUUACAGUUGCAUCUAACUAGAACCAGAGAAAAAUCGGCGAAUUCUCUCCCCUUCGAUCCAAGGAAUUGAGAACAGAAGAAAACGAGGUGACAACGAAGAUGUCAAUUUCCAUAAAGAGCAAUUUGGCCUGCGAGGUCUCCCCAUUUAUUUCUAGAGUUCGUCAAAACGAAGAGGAGCGUGAAAAGGGAGCCCGCGAGACAAACCAAUGGUGGAAAAAAGAACGAUCGAACGUGGAAAGGCCAAGAUGGAGUCAGGGGUUCGGAGCACGUACACUCUGCAUAUUUAACGCAAUGAGAAUGCAUUGGGCCAAGAAUAUCGUGAAAGGGGACGCAAUUUUUCUAGGCACAAACAAACGACCCCGGCGAACUGGACAAACUACGGGAGCGUGCAAUACGAGAAGAAUGGUUCCUGCGACCGAGUAUUCCUUCGGAAAUUUCUGCCACGGUCCAUUCUUUCAUCCUGACCGAUAUACACGAACAAAUUAACCCUAACCCUGGUAAUCCAAACAAAUAUUUUCACAAUCCUUGAGGUACGUACUA